Long non-coding RNA from Alligator mississippiensis (American alligator), 2565 nucleotides. RefSeq lists it as uncharacterized. The transcript has 3 exons. The record is from RefSeq and is a predicted model, not a curated record. NCBI's taxonomy places the organism in Eukaryota, Metazoa, Chordata, Crocodylia, Alligatoridae.
AGGGGAAAGGAGCUCUGCCUGAGUGAGCAAAGAGGGAGGCCUGACUGCACUAGUAGCUACCGAUAUGGCAUCAAUGAUCACAAGGCAGGAAAUAGCUCCCAUGGAGGCAGAGGAAGCAAGGCAGAGUAAGAGAAUAUUGACUGACCUUGGAUAUGUCACCAUUUCCUACUAGAGCAAAUUUCAGCUCUCUCUUUUGAAGGCACAGAAGUCAUACUGUUCACUAAUAGAGACUUAACUGCAACAGAUGAACCAUUUCUUCUGCAACUGUCUUUCUUACAGUAUAAUGUGCUAAUUUAGUUCUCACUUUCAGGUUCUACUUAGAAUGGAAAGCUUAAAAAACAAACCUAUUUAUCAUUACCUGAAAUUCAUGGGGCUGUAUUGUUCACAUAUAUAUUCUCAGGGUGUGGUAUGUCUCACACCCUGUGCCUGGAAACGUUUUGCCAGUCACCUCCCCUGGCAAAGAUCCUCAGUGAUGGGCAGGAACUGGAGAAUGUUGAACACUUGGCACACCUUGGCAGCCAUCCCUCAAAAAAGGCCAACAUCAAUGAGAAGAUCCAGUAUAGGAUCUGAUGUACCAUCUCUGCCUUUGGAAGACUGAAUCAUCGUGUGUUCAAUGAUCUCGACAUCAGGACUUGAACAAAGCUGUGGUAAUCCCAACUCUCCUCUACAUCUGUGAAGCUUAAGUGUCCUACAGGGAGUACAUGAAAUACCUGGAACGCCAUCACCGCCACUACCCCCAGAAGAUUCUUGGCAAGUGGGAUCAUCACAUAAGUGCCAGUGUCCUCACUCAUGCUAACACCACCAGUAUGGAAGCAUUGAUUAUCCAACAUCAGCUGUGGUGGACAAGGCACUGUAUGUACAUGACUGAUGUACAUUUACCAGAACAACUGAAAUAUUCCCAACAUAGCCAAGGACAAAGGACAUGCAGCAGCCAGAAGAAAUGAUUCAAAGACACGGUUACAAAAUUAGAACCCCAGAGGGGAACUCAUCUGGGGUGGAAGAUAGGCAGAGCUGGUGCGAGACCAUGCCAAGCCAAGAGAGAAACAGGCAUGGAGCCAUGGCUGGAGAAACUGUCAUGGCAGAGAAAAAACCCCCCAAAACCCAGAUGAUCUGAGAGGAGCCAGGAUCAAUUCCCGCACCAGUGUGGUCAUGCUUUGUGGUCACGUGCUGGUGCCAAUUCGCCGGCCUGCCCAUGGAACAAGGGAUAAAAACCCUGCUGGACAGGAAGCCUGGGGGACUGGAAGUGCGCUCCCCUGCAGGCACUCAGCAGCUCAGCACAGAGCUGUGCCCCAAAGAGGGAAAGCAGUGGCAGCCCCAAGAGGGGAUUUUGAGAAAUAUUACAAGCCCAGAAGGGCAGCAUUACUUACCUGAAGCAGAUACGUGGAUUCCUGAUGUCUCCCAGACAGAUUGGGUUUACCAGGAACCUGUGGAGAGAAGGAGAGACAGCUGUCCAUGCCACAAUAAUGACAAACAAAGAGAAUUGAAACCAACACUGGGAGGCAAGGUAACCUCGGGCCAGGUACUGGCCAAAUCAACCCUACUGAGGCAAGACCCGAGUGAGGUGAACUGAUGUCUAUGCACUGUAUACCAUUUAAAAUGGCCAAGACACAUACCAACACCAUGAUCAAACCCAGAAGAUUGGGAUUCAACAUCAUUGGUUGGCAUUAGGUGGGGUGUAGGGGAGGCCAAAACGGGAAGAUUGACAGGAAAAUCAGAGGAGGGAACCAGGAGGAACAGAACAUACAUCUUCCUCCCUACUAAAUACAUUUAUUCCAGCUAAUCAUGGCAGGUGAGAGCCACUGAGGACCCUCUGGAAUCUGUCUCAAUAACUGACCAUCCUUUCUGUGGACAACAGCAACAUCCAAUAAACCGGCAUGGACAAAGUGCUCUGGUGAAUGGCACGGUUGCUUACAGACACCCUCAAAGCGAACAUUAAGAAGUGUGGCAUUAACACCACAAACUGGGAAAAACUAGUCAGGGACAGGGCUACAUGGCAAUGCUUUGUGAAAGAGGGUACAUCUUUGAGGAAAACCGUCCUGCUGUGGAGGCAGAAAAGUGACAGAAAUGAAAGAAAAGGAAACAAGACCAAGAAAUCCAUGGUUCAAACCUCCCUUUAACCAUCACCUGUGGCAUUUGCCAGAGAGUUUGUGGCUCUAGGAUCAGCUUUCUUAGCCAUCAAUAGACUCAUUUACAACCCUUUACUUGACCUGUGUAAGUGAUCAUCCUUGAAUGUGAGGGAUUGCCAACUCUGAGUAUAUAUAUUAUAAUAUAUUGUAGCACUUAGUGAGAACAAGUAUAUGUAUACUGUAGACAUGCAAUUGUUUUAAUUAGUAUAUACAAGAGGACCUGGGAACACUUAAUUAUAUGUACUGGCCUUGGGAGCUGUGGCAUAUAUUAUACAAUUAUACACAAUUGUAUAAUAUGCCUGUAUCAUGACUGUAAGUAACACAGCACUAUGUGAUGGACUGUAAGUAACCCAUUUAGCACUAUGUGCUGGCUUACCAUGGGUGUUAGUGACUAGAAUGUUUGUAGACAAUAAACUCAAGUGAGUCUUUGUCUUUUGAA